RNAcentral lists this ribosomal RNA (253 nucleotides) under uncultured bacterium. RNAcentral's name for it is "partial 16S ribosomal RNA". It matches the Rfam family "Bacterial small subunit ribosomal RNA", at positions 524 to 776 of the family's 1533-position model. The record is from RNAcentral.
UACGUAGGGUGCGAGCGUUGUCCGGAAUUACGGGGCGUAAAGAGCUCGUAGGUGGUUUGUCGCGUUGUUCGUGAAAACUCACAGCUUAACUGUGGGCGUGCGGGCGAUACGGGCAGACUGGAGUACUGCAGGGGAGACUGGAAUUCCUGGUGUAGCGGUGGAAUGCGCAGAUAUCAGGAGGAACACCGGUGGCGAAGGCGGGUCUCUGGGCAGUAACUGACGCUGAGGAGCGAAAGCGUGGGGAGCGAACAGG